Molecule: long non-coding RNA, 159 nt
Organism: Nothoprocta perdicaria
Lineage: Eukaryota; Metazoa; Chordata; Aves; Tinamiformes; Tinamidae
Exons: 2
Source: RefSeq, a predicted model, not a curated record
CAGAAGUUACUUGUGAUAUCCUUCAGAUUAGGGAAAUCCUGAGGUCAGGCAACUAGAUGUCUGAGUUGCAAGGGAAUCCUGGAAUUCCAAAAUUAUUGCGGCUCAAGGACUGCUCUAACAAGAGUUUAUGAGAGACUGUUACAUUCAACAAAUAACCCA